Molecule: unclassified non-coding RNA, 263 nt
Filed under: plant metagenome
Description: partial contains small subunit ribosomal RNA, internal transcribed spacer 1, and 5.8S ribosomal RNA
Rfam family: Eukaryotic small subunit ribosomal RNA (bases 1-54)
Source: RNAcentral
GGAAGCAAAAGUCGUAACAAGGUUUCCGUAGGUGAACCUGCGGAAGGAUCAUUAAAGAGUAAGGGUCUUCGGGCCCGAUCUCCAACCCUUUGUUUAACUACCAUGUUGCUUUGGCGGGCCCGUCUCACGACCGCCGGAAGUUUGGCUUCGACCAAACUUCUGGCCCGUGCCCGUCAGUGGCCCCUUCAAAUUCUUGAUGAAGUAUGAUGUCUUAGUUAAAAACUUAAUAGUUAAAACUUUCAACAACGGAUCUCUUGGUUCUG